Molecule: ribosomal RNA, 1461 nt
Filed under: uncultured organism
Description: SSU rRNA
Rfam family: Bacterial small subunit ribosomal RNA
Source: RNAcentral
CUUGACGAACGCUGGCGGCGUGCCUAAUACAUGCAAGUAGAACGCUGAAGAGAGGAGCUUGCUCUUCUUGGAUGAGUUGCGAACGGGUGAGUAACGCGUAGGUAACCUGCCCUGUAGCGGGGGAUAACUAUUGGAAACGAUAGCUAAUACCGCAUAACAAUGGAUGACACAUGUCAUUUAUUUGAAAGGGGCAAAUGCUCCACUACAAGAUGGACCUGCGUUGUAUUAGCUAGUAGGUGAGGUAACGGCUCACCUAGGCGACGAUACAUAGCCGACCUGAGAGGGUGAUCGGCCACACUGGGACUGAGACACGGCCCAGACUCCUACGGGAGGCAGCAGUAGGGAAUCUUCGGCAAUGGGGGCAACCCUGACCGAGCAACGCCGCGUGAGUGAAGAAGGUUUUCGGAUCGUAAAGCUCUGUUGUAAGUCAAGAACGAGUGUGAGAGUGGAAAGUUCACACUGUGACGGUAGCUUACCAGAAAGGGACGGCUAACUACGUGCCAGCAGCCGCGGUAAUACGUAGGUCCCGAGCGUUGUCCGGAUUUAUUGGGCGUAAAGCGAGCGCAGGCGGUUUGAUAAGUCUGAAGUUAAAGGCUGUGGCUCAACCAUAGUUCGCUUUGGAAACUGUCAAACUUGAGUGCAGAAGGGGAGAGUGGAAUUCCAUGUGUAGCGGUGAAAUGCGUAGAUAUAUGGAGGAACACCGGUGGCGAAAGCGGCUCUCUGGUCUGUAACUGACGCUGAGGCUCGAAAGCGUGGGGAGCGAACAGGAUUAGAUACCCUGGUAGUCCACGCCGUAAACGAUGAGUGCUAGGUGUUGGAUCCUUUCCGGGAUUCAGUGCCGCAGCUAACGCAUUAAGCACUCCGCCUGGGGAGUACGACCGCAAGGUUGAAACUCAAAGGAAUUGACGGGGGCCCGCACAAGCGGUGGAGCAUGUGGUUUAAUUCGAAGCAACGCGAAGAACCUUACCAGGUCUUGACAUCCCGAUGCUAUUUCUAGAGAUAGAAAGUUACUUCGGUACAUCGGUGACAGGUGGUGCAUGGUUGUCGUCAGCUCGUGUCGUGAGAUGUUGGGUUAAGUCCCGCAACGAGCGCAACCCCUAUUGUUAGUUGCCAUCAUUCAGUUGGGCACUCUAGCGAGACUGCCGGUAAUAAACCGGAGGAAGGUGGGGAUGACGUCAAAUCAUCAUGCCCCUUAUGACCUGGGCUACACACGUGCUACAAUGGUUGGUACAACGAGUUGCGAGUCGGUGACGGCAAGCUAAUCUCUUAAAGCCAAUCUCAGUUCGGAUUGUAGGCUGCAACUCGCCUACAUGAAGUCGGAAUCGCUAGUAAUCGCGGAUCAGCACGCCGCGGUGAAUACGUUCCCGGGCCUUGUACACACCGCCCGUCACACCACGAGAGUUUGUAACACCCGAAGUCGGUGAGGUAACCUUUUGGAGCCAGCCGCCUAAGGUGGGAUAG